GGGGCUAUAGCUCAGUCGGUUAGAGCGCAUCCCUGAUAAGGAUGAGGCCACAGGUUCAAAUCCUGUUAGCCCCA
This 74-nucleotide transfer RNA is filed under the name Streptomyces curacoi. It matches the Rfam family "tRNA". From Rfam's summary of the family: Transfer RNA (tRNA) molecules are approximately 80 nucleotides in length. The record is from RNAcentral. Lineage: Bacteria; Bacillati; Actinomycetota; Actinomycetes; Kitasatosporales; Streptomycetaceae. RNAcentral also lists the same sequence under 2 other names.